CCGUAGAGAGUUUGUAGUCCUUGGCGUCAGGAUGAACGCUGGCGGCGUGCUUAACACAUGCAAGUCGAACGGGGAUGCCAUUUUCGAGGUGAUUAGUUUACUAAGAGCCAAGAUGUUGGCAUCGUUAGUGGCGGACGGGUGAGUAACGCGUGGGUAACCUGCCUUAUACAGGGGGAUAACACUUAGAAAUAGGUGCUAAUACCGCAUAAGCGCACGGGGCUGCAUGGCCCAGUGUGAAAAACUCCGGUGGUAUAAGAUGGACCCGCGUCUGAUUAGCUUGUUGGCGGGGUAACGGCCCACCAAGGCGACGAUCAGUAGCCGGCCUGAGAGGGUGGACGGCCACAUUGGGACUGAGACACGGCCCAAACUCCUACGGGGAGGCAGCAGUGGGGGAAUAUUGGACAAUGGGGGGAACCUUGAUCCAGCGACGCCGCGUGAGUGAAGAAGUAUUUCGGUAUGUAAAGCUCUAUCAGCAGGGAAGAAAGAAAUGACGGUACCUGACUAAGAAGCCCCGGCUAACUACGUG
This 526-nucleotide ribosomal RNA is filed under the name uncultured Lachnospiraceae bacterium. RNAcentral's name for it is "bacterial SSU rRNA". It matches the Rfam family "Bacterial small subunit ribosomal RNA", at positions 1 to 507 of the family's 1533-position model. The record is from RNAcentral. Lineage: Bacteria; Bacillati; Bacillota; Clostridia; Lachnospirales; Lachnospiraceae.